Long non-coding RNA from Venturia canescens, 5505 nucleotides. RefSeq lists it as uncharacterized. The transcript has 3 exons. NCBI's taxonomy places the organism in Eukaryota, Metazoa, Arthropoda, Insecta, Hymenoptera, Ichneumonidae. The record is from RefSeq and is a predicted model, not a curated record.
GAAAUAAAUCGCGCAGAGGUCUGAAGAGGCGGUACGCGCCUCUUCGAGCCUUCCUGCAAACACACGAGAUCUUUUAAGACGAGUCACAAUAUCUUCGUACACUUUUAAUACGUGUAUGUAUGCAUCGGAAGAAGAUCAACGGAGCGACAUUCGAGCUCGACUGUCUCGAGGGCUCGCGGCACUUUGCUCCCCCCUCGAACUUGAAGGAAAAAAAGGAAGUCAGUCAAGAAGCGGAAACGCAGAUGACUGAGAAACGAGGAUGGAACAAAAAACGAAAAUUCUUUCCGUUCCUCCCAGCCGUCGUGGCAGGCUGCAAAAAAAUCAACGAAACAGAGAGGAAGCCCUGAAGGUGCGUCGCACGCUCGCUCAUUUUCUUCUUAAUCCUUCUCGCUCUCUAUCGGAGCUAAGAAAGUUAAUAUUACGACGAACGACAAAAAUAUUUUUAAACAAAUUUGCAAAAUAAGAUCUUCUUAAAUGACUAAAAAGUUUCUUUACACCCAAAAUUGGGGCUUUUCCCCAAUUGGCAAUAGCCGCAUUAACGAGUUAUACGAUGCAGCACCGACAAAAAUUUGACUCAAAGAAUCCGAGCACGUUAAAACCACUCGCGAUCAACAACGUUCAAACAAGUCAUUUGGGAACGUCAAAAGUCAUCCGGCUCCGAGAAAAUGAAGUCUUCAAGACCGUUCCAACAUAUUCCAAAUAACCUCGCCACACUGAAACCGAAAUUUGACUAAAAUAUUCAAACAUUUCGUAGCCCGUUGGCACAAGACUUUAUAGUUAAAGCAACAAUCGAACGGUACGCACCAAGCUCCUUUGUACCGAAACGUAACUUUGUUGGCGCAAUAAAAUAUUCCCCGGACGAAGCAUUCUGCUGUGCGUACUCAAAAAAAUAUUCCAAAAUUCCAGCGUACCUCGCAAAGUACCGUUUUCGCUAAAGAAAAAGCAUUCUACUCGUAAAAUAACGGUACAGCUGAUCGUUCCGCGUCUUCGUCCACGAUACGUGAACUGUACGUGGGGUAGCAGAGCGUUGGCGUAGUGGUGAAAAAGUCCCCCGAAAGCAUACACGUGCUUGGUGGCUGUGUGGAGGAUCGUCAGUCAAGAAACACCGAGGGACAAGAUUCGAGAGAGCGAGAGAGAGAGAGCCCAGGGCAUCAUGGUACACAUUAUAUCCCCCGGAGCAAUAUCUCUGUAGGAGGCUGAGUAACACAUGUCCCUCUCCUCUCGGACCGGGGCUUCUGCCAUCCUCGAAAUUCCGGGCCACGUGUGCUACGUACCGUAAUUACAAGGAGAUCGUAGCUCCUCCUCGCCCUCGUUUGGAUAUCAACUCUUUAACACACGCGUUAAUGCAUCUUCGGGUACGCGUGCGUACGCAGACACGAAAACGACGCAACGUUUGUACGGGCGCGUAUCUCUGGAAGCAUUAUCGACUUUGGCCAGAUACUCUUUCAAUAUUAUUUUCAAGUGAUGCCAAACGGAGAUAGGAGAGGCUACAAAAACCUGCCACGAGAGCAGUCGACUGAGCUUCAUUUUUUCAUCUCGAACUUGGAUUGAUUCGCUCUCGACUUAUAUCAACGACGUUUCAUGAAUUACACAAGCUUUUCCGGCCUCUGAUCCACGGGGAUGAAUGUUUUAUUGGAAAGCCGAAGUAGGGUCGUUGAACCGGAAAAUGCUUUUGAGAAAAAAUGCAUCUUCCGAGAUUCUUUGAGUCCCCGCUCAAUUCGGAAGCGUCUCGGCUCGAAAAAUCGAAAUAAAAGCAGUUGAUUGAAGAGUGUUAUUUUGAAGAAGGCAUUUUCAGCGGGCCCGCAGACCUCGUCACGAUUCUCGCUCGCAGCGACAGUGCAGCGGUGCGAAACGGCGCGUGAGGAAAAAUAAUACUCUGCAGAAUGUGCGUGCACGCGUUAUGCGUGUGGUCGAUCGCUCCUCGGCCAUCAGGGUGGGUGGAAUCGAGCGCCUUACCUGGCGAAUAAUGCACCGGGAGCGACGGGAGUGUGCACGCCACGGGUCACCAGGCUAAACUCCGCGUGCGUAAGUUAUCGCUCUUCAUAGGAAAGAGAAAGCUCAGGGGAGCGAGAACGAAGCGAAUGCGCGCUGCUGGGAAGCGCUAACGGAAGAGUAGAGAAUGUGGAAAAAGGGUUGCGGAGGGCGCGCCUGUGAGAUCGAGAGGAAAAGUGCCGGGAAGAUAAAAUCUAAUGGGCGGGCAAAAUAUUGAGAGGGCUGGAACGCACCUGAGGAAAUAAGGAGCAAAAGAAAUGCACGAGGAGACGGAAACUCGAGGAAGCGGUCGGGGGAGAAAAAAGUGGUGCGGGGAUUGAAACGCACCUGAGACCGGAAGACUGAGAAAGGGCGAGCAGAAAAGGGGACUUGGAGGAUUGAAAUGCGCACCUGAAGAGAAGAACAAAAGGUGCGGAAGAGGCUGGAGCAGGGAGCAGAUCGAAAUGCACCUGCGCGAGCUUUUUUUAACUCUUCGGUAUCGGGCCGAGCAUUUAAGGUACGAUGAAAAUUUAGGAGCGCAUCCGAUAAUUCGUGGCCUCUGGCAGUCUCGCGUUGGCGGAUGCGUAACCUCGAUGAAAUGUGACACCACGAAGCGCGAGCGAGCGAACGAACGACGAUGAAGCGACGCGAUCCGGAGCCCCGAGGACGCCGAGAGGCUCCGGGGGACGAAACACGAACGGGAAAAAAAAUAAGUUUACGUUGGAUACGAGCGAGGGGAAAAGUCGACGUCGUCAAGAAAAUAACGAGAGAAAAAUGGAGACGAUGGGGGAGAGCGAGAGGGAGCGAGAGAGGCAGCUGCGGUACAGUGACGAACAUCCGAGAGCCCAUUCGUAAUUUGGCAACGAGAAAACACCCGUGUCGCGUUAACCCAGAGAGGGUUGAUCUCAUCGAGAAUCUUCCAACAGUUUUUUGCCUCGGUCCAACUAUUGCGAGGGAUUAGUAACGAUUCGAGAAUUUUUAAAUUACCAUUCGAACCAUGCUUGGCUCGAUGUUGAAUUUUUCUUCGUUCGAAUGCAUCGAAAAUCCAUGUUUUUUCUUCAAAUAAGUUCAAAACUAACUCUCACAGUGUGUAGCAACGAAUGAAUUUUGGCAGCAUAACUGGAGAACAGGGAAUCAAAAUCGACAAGAAAAAAAGGUCAAAAAUUGAAGUAGAAAAUGGAAAAAAAGUGCGCGCGUCGGAAGUUCGGGAACUCCGAAGGUUGCGAAAAAGCGAUGAGCACGAUUUUGGGACAAAAAGCUGAGCGAGUGAUGAACUUUUACGAGGGAAUUACGAGCAGCGGUCGCCGCAGCGAGUGCAGCUCGGGCCUGAUGACUGGAAGGAACGUCAGGGGAAGCGAAGGAGCGAGGGGGGGCCGGAGAGAGUGUGAUUUUUCGUGCGAGCAGAUGACUGUGACGAGACGAUGUUGACGAAGUGAAGAAGGAGGAGAAGUCGGGGUGCUGCGAAAGCGAGAAAGAUUCGACGCGAGGAGACCGCGUCGAGAAGAGGAAAAACGAAGAAGAGAAUCGGGAGGGGCGGAGAGAGACGCGAAAUUGAGAAGCGGUUAGAGAGAGAAGUACGACGGGGAGGUUUAACGAGGGUGACGAGAGGAAAAGAGAGCGAGGGAAACGUACGCGCGUCCCCGCGCUUGUGGGAGUGAGCCUCUCGCAAAUGUGUGCGUACGCAGUAGUAGCAGCAUCGAAGAGAGAGCUUGGCUGGCAGCUGUCGGGCGCGUGCGGCGUCGAACCUUUUAAGGCGCGAUCACUGGACGCCCGACGUCGCAACAUCCCUCUUUUCUCUCUCUCUCUUUCCCAACCUCCGUACACGCUCCCCACUGCUCUCGCAUUCCCUCGCUUCCCUUCCUUGGAGCAUUCCCCGUGCUGUAGCAACGAAAGCUACUUACUCCCCACGCCCGUCCUCGUUGCGAAUUCGGGCUAUAUUCAGUAUUGUUGAAUCUCCAAAGCCACAUAAAUGUUUGGGUUUGGAGAUUUGUGCAUGCUCGUGCAAAAGCGCUCUGGCGGGAUGCACCGAAGCUUCGAUAAUGAGGGCACGUUGAAAGUCUCGCGGUAUGAUUUUCGGGCGAACCGAAAGCGCGGAAUUUGACUCGAGCAGGACGAAUCGUACGAAUAUUAACGAGCGUUUCGGUGCGCCCUUUCAGGAUUUUUUUCUCGGUCUCUCGUCCCCCGGUGGCGCGCGGCACGUUCACCUGGUUUCACGGGGGCCGCCAACACUCCGCAUCUCUCAACCGGGUGUCCGCCGUCGCGCGUCUCGCUCCGCGUGGCCUCCGUGUACGUUUUCCCUCUGCGCGGCCUGUUAGGAAAUAAAAGUAUGCAGCUUGCGUGCCAAAUUUCUCGCUCCCGACGUCUUUUCCCCUGCUCCACGGGCCGCCGGUUCUCCGCACCCGUUUCGCCGAAGUACGCGCAGGCCCGAGCUUCGCAACUGGCUUUCAGAAAAGUUUUUGUUUCCCGUGGCCCGUUCGACUCGCUUGUUUCGAACUUCCUCUUACUUUCGUUAGUUUUUCUUCUCGUUUAGCGCUCGCCUGCGCGCUUUCGCUUCUCUUCUGGGCCGGGCGCACUCGAGCCUCCCCGUUUGUUUGUUUCUUCGUUUGCUCACGUUUCACAGCCGUCGUGAAGCAAUCGCGCAUGCGCCCUCGAUCCCGAUUGUCGCGAGCCCCCGACGCGCUCUCUCCAUCUUUCAAAUACUUUUCCACAUACGCGAUCAUGCGCGCAAACCUCGGCCCUCGCUUUCUCAUCCCACGCGGAUCACACGACACGCAACAGGCGCUUCCCCUUUGCCGCUACCCGCGAAACGGAUCCGCGAGCCUCGAGCGAAUAGACGAAGCUCGCGCAGCGGACGCGCGAGCGAGCCGAUGCAGCGCCUCCCGUUCCUUACCCGCGAACCUUCCGCGGUGAAUUUCAUCAGAAUUUUCGUUUCGUUCGCCCUCCGCUCUCGCCGUUUCCGACGAGCCCUAUCCCCGUCGAUUUAUCAUGGGAAAAGGAGCUUUUCCAGAGGCCGCUGACUCGAGAUGAGCGAAAAAGUGAUGCCGAAAAUCCCUUUGGACUCUCCGCAGCUCAUACGCGUUCCUCCCAAAACACUUCAAGUCGGAGGAUGAUCAAUAAAUCUCGCGGCUCAAAUUUACAUAGAAACGAAUACACGACCGUGAUACUAUCGAUUGCCGCACGGGAGUCCGAACGUUUCGAUAGCUUUUGGGCGAGCGAGACUUUUGACCCGAUCGAAUGUAGGUGAGAGCGCCGAAUAAUUCAUGCCCAACAUCCUGACAGCUACGCGGCCCUAUAAAGACUUCUCGGUUUGAUAUACGAUCCGCGAUGCUUCGAUCAACUGCUCCGCGAGUUCCAACGAUUUUAACCGCGAAACCGAACAUCGUGAAAUCCUGUCGUUCCGACAGGAACGAAACCAAAAAGUUGUCAAACUUUUUUUCGUAGAUUCGAGCACGACGAUACAAUGUUGCCAUGCUAAACCAUGUUAAGAAUAUGAAGAAUUUCAAAAUUAUAAGAAUUUCAUAAUAUUUGGUAAAU